This 252-nucleotide long non-coding RNA is filed under the name Lathyrus oleraceus (garden pea). Its description in RNAcentral is "Pisum sativum (pea) long non-coding RNA (PSAT_LNC037925)". The record is from RNAcentral. Lineage: Eukaryota; Viridiplantae; Streptophyta; Magnoliopsida; Fabales; Fabaceae.
GUCCACCAUACUUGGUCUUUAAGUGACAUCCAUCAACCCCCACAAAUGGUCUGCAUCCAUGAAUAAAGCCUUUCUUACAGCCAUCAAAACAGAAAUAAAAUGACCCAAACCUUGGUUGUAUGGAUGGACUAGGUCUUUCUAAUUUAUCUUCACAGUGUUGCCAUGGUUUACCCUUCUUAGUUCUUCUGCAUACCUCCAUAUGGAAGCAUACUGAUUGUCAGCAUCACCUUCAAUUAUCUUCUUGGCAAUUAG